CCUACGGGAGGCAGCAGUGGGGGAUAUUGGACAAUGGGGGGAACCCUGAUCCAGCGACGCCGCGUGAGUGAAGAAGUAUUUCGGUAUGUAAAGCUCUGUCAGCAGGGAAGAAAGAAAUGACGGUACCUGACCAAGGAGCCCCGGCUAACUACGUGCCAGCAGCCGCGGUAAUACGGAGGGGGCAAGCGUUAUCCGGAAUUACUGGGUGUAAAGGGAGCGUAGACGGUUAAGUAAGUCUGGAGUGAAAGGCCGGGGCCCAACCCCGGGACUGCUCUGGAAACUAUUGAACUUGAGUGCAGGAGAGGUAAGCGGAAUUCCUAGUGGAGCGGUGAAAUGCGUAGAUAUUAGGAGGAACACCAGUGGCGAAGGCGGCUUACUGGACUGUAACUGACGUUGAGGCUCGAAAGCGUGGGGAGCAAACAGGAUUAGAUACCCUUGUAGUC
This 443-nucleotide ribosomal RNA is filed under the name uncultured bacterium. Its description in RNAcentral is "partial 16S ribosomal RNA". It matches the Rfam family "Bacterial small subunit ribosomal RNA", at positions 338 to 795 of the family's 1533-position model. The record is from RNAcentral.